GCCGCCGGUCUUCUUCCGGCGGAGCAGGCCCGACAUGGGAGACCCGCCCCGGGAACGGGACGGGGACAGGGUCCGGAUCACUUCUUGCUUGAGGGACGAGAAGAAACCGUGCUUCUUCUCCAUGUUCGAACAGAGAGAUGAGAGAGAGAGAGAGAGAGGAGUUGCAGGAAAGCGCAGCGGAAGUGGGAACAAUACUUCCGUUUUUGAAGUGUGUGCGAGGGACCGAGCGGG
Rhodamnia argentea is the source of this 231-nucleotide long non-coding RNA. RefSeq lists it as uncharacterized. The record is from RefSeq and is a predicted model, not a curated record. The transcript is spliced from 2 exons. NCBI's taxonomy places the organism in Eukaryota, Viridiplantae, Streptophyta, Magnoliopsida, Myrtales, Myrtaceae.